This 249-nucleotide ribosomal RNA is filed under the name uncultured bacterium. Its description in RNAcentral is "partial 16S ribosomal RNA". It matches the Rfam family "Bacterial small subunit ribosomal RNA", at positions 336 to 601 of the family's 1533-position model. The record is from RNAcentral.
UUCCUACGGGGCGCAGCAGUGGGGAAUAUUGCACAAUGGGGGGAACCCUGAUGCAGCGACGCCGCGUGAGUGAAGAAGUAUUUCGGUAUGUAAAGCUCUGUCAGCAGGGAAGAAGAAAGACGGUACCUGACCAAGAAGCCCCGGCUAACUACGUGCCAGCAGCCGCGGUAAUACGUAGGGGGCAAGCGUUAUCCGGAUUUACUGGGUGUAAAGGGAGCGCAGGCGGGUAGCCAAGUUAGCUGUGAAAAC